Molecule: small nucleolar RNA, 125 nt
Organism: Peromyscus maniculatus bairdii (prairie deer mouse)
Lineage: Eukaryota; Metazoa; Chordata; Mammalia; Rodentia; Cricetidae
Source: Ensembl
CUCCACUUCUCCAUGUCUUUGGACUGCUGUGGCAGUCUCAUUUCCUGGCUGUGGAAGAGCAUCUUCUUGUUUAUUGGCAAGACCAACACCACAUAUCUGGUAUCAGACUCUGACUUGCAGCAUUC